UAGAGUAAUACAUAAGUAACCUGCCCUAGACAGGGGGAUAACUAUUGGAAACGAUAGCUAAGACCGCAUAGGUACGGACACUGCAUAGUGACCGUAUUAAAAGUGCCUCAAAGCACUGGUAGAGGAUGGACUUAUGGCGCAUUAGCUGGUUGGCGGGGUAACGGCCCACCAAGGCGACGAUGCGUAGCCGACCUGAGAGGGUGACCGGCCACACUGGGACUGAGACACGGCCCAGACUCCUACGGGAGGCAGCAUG
RNAcentral lists this ribosomal RNA (256 nucleotides) under uncultured bacterium. RNAcentral's name for it is "partial 16S ribosomal RNA". It matches the Rfam family "Bacterial small subunit ribosomal RNA", at positions 107 to 353 of the family's 1533-position model. The record is from RNAcentral.